RNAcentral lists this ribosomal RNA (656 nucleotides) under uncultured bacterium. RNAcentral describes it as "bacterial SSU rRNA". It matches the Rfam family "Bacterial small subunit ribosomal RNA", at positions 135 to 809 of the family's 1533-position model. The record is from RNAcentral.
ACCGGGGGAUAACAGCUGGAAACGGCUGCUAAUACCGCAUAAGUGCACAGAGCUGCAUGGCUCGGUGUGAAAAACUCCGGUGGUAUGGGAUGGGCCCGCGUCUGAUUAGGCAGUUGGCGGGGUAACGGCCCACCAAACCGACGAUCAGUAGCCGGCCUGAGAGGGCGACCGGCCACAUUGGGACUGAGACACGGCCCAAACUCCUACGGGAGGCAGCAGUGGGGAAUAUUGCACAAUGGGGGAAACCCUGAUGCAGCGACGCCGCGUGAGCGAAGAAGUAUUUCGGUAUGUAAAGCUCUAUCAGCAGGGAAGAUAAUGACGGUACCUGACUAAGAAGCCCCGGCUAACUACGUGCCAGCAGCCGCGGUAAUACGUAGGGGGCAAGCGUUAUCCGGAUUUACUGGGUGUAAAGGGAGCGUAGACGGCAAGGCAAGUCUGAUGUGAAAACCCAGGGCUUAACCCUGGGACUGCAUUGGAAACUGUCUGGCUCGAGUGCCGGAGAGGUAAGCGGAAUUCCUAGUGUAGCGGUGAAAUGCGUAGAUAUUAGGAAGAACACCAGUGGCGAAGGCGGCUUACUGGACGGUAACUGACGUUGAGGCUCGAAAGCGUGGGGAGCAAACAGGAUUAGAUACCCUGGUAGUCCACGCCGUAAACGA